UGAACUCUCAAAGCCCACAUCUUGAUGUGGCUUUGGACUUGGGGGCUUUUGCAGGCUUUUAAUGAAAGGCCUGCUCUCCUGAAAUUCAUUAGUGGUACCUGGAGUGGAAACCGCUAGGCGUUGAUAACAUUCAUCUAUGCCUUUGGUAUGCCGCGCAAAUGGGCUGCUUCGAAAACGCACAUGCUCUUGACAA
Molecule: unclassified non-coding RNA, 193 nt
Filed under: uncultured Inocybe
Lineage: Eukaryota; Fungi; Basidiomycota; Agaricomycetes; Agaricales; Cortinariaceae
Description: sequence contains ITS2
Source: RNAcentral